GAGCGGAACGAGUUAUCCUGAACCUUUCGGGGGAACGAUAACGGCGUCGUAGCGGCGGUACGGGUGAGUAAUGCCUAGGAAAUUGCCCUGAUGUGGGGGAUAACCAUUGGAAACGAUGGCUAAUACCGCAUGAUGCCUACGGGCCAAAGAGGGGGACCUUCGGGCCUCUCGCGUCAGGAUAUGCCUAGGUGGGAUUAGCUAGUUGGUGAGGUAAGGGCUCACCAAGGCGACGAUCCCUAGCUGGUCUGAGAGGAUGAUCAGCCACACUGGAACUGAGACACGGUCCAGACUCCUACGGGAGGCAGCAGUGGGGAAUAUUGCACAAUGGGCGCAAGCCUGAUGCAGCCAUGCCGCGUGUGUGAAGAAGGCCUUCGGGUUGUAAAGCACUUUCAGUCGUGAGGAAGGCNGNNACGUUAAUAGCNUANUCAUUUGACGUUAGCGACAGAAGAAGCACCGGCUAACUCCGUGCCAGCAGCCGCGGUAAUACGGAGGGUGCGAGCGUUAAUCGGAAUUACUGGGCGUAAAGCGCAUGCAGGUGGUUUGUUAAGUCAGAUGUGAAAGCCCGGGGCUCAACCUCGGAAUUGCAUUUGAAACUGGCAGACUAGAGUACUGUAGAGGGGGGUAGAAUUUCAGGUGUAGCGGUGAAAUGCGUAGAGAUCUGAAGGAAUACCGGUGGCGAAGGCGGCCCCCUGGACAGAUACUGACACUCAGAUGCGAAAGCGUGGGGAGCAAACAGGUAUUAGAUACCCUGGUAGUCCACGCCGUAAACGAUGUCUACUUGGAGGUUGUGGCCUUGAGCCGUGGCUUUCGGAGCUAACGCGUUAAGUAGACCGCCUGGGGAGUACGGUCGCAAGAUUAAAACUCAAAUGAAUUGACGGGGGCCCGCACAAGCGGUGGAGCAUGUGGUUUAAUUCGAUGCAACGCGAAGAACCUUACCUACUCUUGACAUCCAGAGAACUUUCCAGAGAUGGAUUGGUGCCUUCGGGAACUCUGAGACAGGUGCUGCAUGGCUGUCGUCAGCUCGUGUUGUGAAAUGUUGGGUUAAGUCCCGCAACGAGCGCAACCCUUAUCCUUGUUUGCCAGCGAGUAAUGUCGGGAACUCCAGGGAGACUGCCGGUGAUAAACCGGAGGAAGGUGGGGACGACGUCAAGUCAUCAUGGCCCUUACGAGUAGGGCUACACACGUGCUACAAUGGCGCAUACAGAGGGCGGCCAACUGCGAGAGUGAGCGAACCCAAAAAAAGUUGUUAGA
This 1251-nucleotide ribosomal RNA is filed under the name Vibrio parahaemolyticus. Its description in RNAcentral is "bacterial SSU rRNA". It matches the Rfam family "Bacterial small subunit ribosomal RNA", at positions 64 to 1290 of the family's 1533-position model. Lineage: Bacteria; Pseudomonadati; Pseudomonadota; Gammaproteobacteria; Vibrionales; Vibrionaceae. The record is from RNAcentral.